UGCCCUACGGGGGGCAGCAGUAAGGGAUAUUGGUCAAUGGGGGAAACCCUGAACCAGCAACGCCGCGUGAGGGAAGACGGUUUUCGGAUUGUAAACCUCUGUCCUCUGUGAAGAUGAUGACGGUAGCAGAGGAGGAAGCUCCGGCUAACUACGUGCCAGCAGCCGCGGUAAUACGUAGGGAGCGAGCGUUGUCCGGAUUUACUGGGUGUAAAGGGUGCGUAGGCGGCUUGGCAAGUCAGAUGUGAAAAUUAUGGGCUCAACCCAUAACCUGCAUUUGAAACUGUAGUUCUUGAGUGAUGGAGAGG
Molecule: ribosomal RNA, 305 nt
Filed under: uncultured bacterium
Lineage: Bacteria
Description: bacterial SSU rRNA
Rfam family: Bacterial small subunit ribosomal RNA
Source: RNAcentral